AUCUCUUUAAAAACAGAUGCAGUAAAAGACCAAGGACAAAUCCAUAAGUUUUUGGUGGAUCAGUGACAAACAAACUACUCUCAAGAACCUUUGAGCUGUACACAGUUCAGCAACCGCAGAUCAUAUUCAGAUAGAAACAACCCGUAAUCUUGACCCGUAUUUGGAUACUCUCAAUCUUGACCCGUACAUGGAUUAAAAAGGAGUAAGAAGAAGAGAUCAUAUGCAGGCAAUGCAGACUUCGAAGUUUGUUAAUGGGUUUACCCGAAUUUCCAGCAGUCUUGCUUCCUUAUUUCCCUACUUUCCAAACUCCAAAGCAACAGAAAAUAUGCUCAUGCCAGUCCUUUCUUUUACUUUUCUUGCUAGACCUACGUACAGACCAAAGUCCGGAGCAAAAAGAAAGGCUCAAAAACUGUAGGGCGGACACAAAAUUUGCCUGAAUUUUUAGUUGAAAAAAAAAAAAUGGAAGUGAAAUGAGGUUAGGGUUCUUUAUUUUGCUUUCUUCUAAUUCAGAUUCAGAUUUCUGGAGAAUUGAAAAUUGUAUUUUAGGUGUCCGAAAUUGUAUUAUCGCAAAGGGGUUUGUAAUAAUUCAAAAUUAUAAGGUUUGGGUUAAUUAUAUCGGAGAUUAUCACCGAGAAUGGACAGACACAGCGCCGUUCAUUCAUCUGCCCCUUUAUACACGUCCAACUUUCUCUAGCUUGGCCACGUAGAAUCGAGAAGCGGAUCCAGACCCAACUAGUUAAA
RNAcentral lists this long non-coding RNA (741 nucleotides) under Olea europaea (common olive). RNAcentral describes it as "long non-coding RNA (OEUR_LNC010976)". Lineage: Eukaryota; Viridiplantae; Streptophyta; Magnoliopsida; Lamiales; Oleaceae. The record is from RNAcentral.